CAAUAGCGUAUAUUAAAGUUGUUGCGGUUAAAAAGCUCGUAGUUGUAUUUCUGCUGAGAACGACCGGUCCGCCCUUUGGGUGUGUAUCUGGCUCUUUCUUGGCAUCUUCUUGGUGAACGUUGCUGCACUUGACUGUGUGGAGCGCUACCCAGGACUUUUACUUUGAGGAAAUUAGAGUGUUUCAAGCAGGCAUACGCCUUGAAUACAUUAGCAUGGAAUAAUAAGAUAGGACCUCGGUUCUAUUUUGUUGGUUUCUAGAGCUGAGGUAAUGAUUAAUAGGGAUAGUUGGGGGCAUUCGUAUUUAACUGUCAGAGGUGAAAUUCUUGGAUUUGUUAAAGACGGACUACUGCGAANGNAUUUGCNAAGGAUGUUUNCAUUG
Molecule: ribosomal RNA, 379 nt
Filed under: uncultured eukaryote
Lineage: Eukaryota
Description: partial 18S ribosomal RNA
Rfam family: Eukaryotic small subunit ribosomal RNA
Source: RNAcentral